UAGAUGUGGGACAAGGAUUUAAAAAG
This 26-nucleotide non-coding RNA is filed under the name Homo sapiens (human). The record is from RNAcentral. Lineage: Eukaryota; Metazoa; Chordata; Mammalia; Primates; Hominidae.